GGUUGAUCCUGCCAGUAGUCAUAUGCUUGUCUCAAAGAUUAAGCCAUGCAUGUCUAAGUAUAAAUAGUAUACAGUGAAACUGCGAAUGGCUCAUUAAAACAGUUAUAGUUUAUUUGAUAAUUGACAAUUACAUGGAUAACCGUGGUAAUUCUAGAGCUAAUACAUGCUUAAACGCCCGACUUUAUGGAAGGGUGGUAUUUAUUAGACUGAAGCCAAUAUUCCUUGUGUCUAUUGCGGUGAUUCAUAAUAACUGAUCGAAUCUCUUUUUGAGAUAAAUCAUUCAAGUUUCUGCCCUAUCAGCUUUCGAUGGUAGUGUAUUGGACUACCAUGGCAGUAACGGGUAACGAAGAAUUAGGGUUCGAUUUCGGAGAGGGAGCAUGAGAAACGGCUACCACACCUAAGGAAGGCAGCAGGCGCGUAAAUUACCCAAUCCUGACUCAGGGAGGUAGUGACAAGAAAUAGCAAACCGGGAACCUCAUGGUUUCACGGUAUUGCAAUGAGAACAAUUUAAAACCCUUAGCGAGAAUCAAGUGGAGGACAAGUCUGGUGCCAGCACCCGCGGUAAUUCCAGCUCCACUAGCGUAUAUUAAAGUUGUUGCAGUUAAAAAGCUCGUAGUUGAACCUCUGUCUGGGGCUAGUUUUGGCUUUGGUCAGGCUAGUUCUAGGCAUCCGCCUACAAGACUUAGAGGGCAUUCAGUUGUUCACUAGGAGGAGUAGGCAUUUUACUUUGAAAAAAUUAGAGUGUUUAAGGCAGGCAAUCGCCCGCAUAUAUUAGCAUGGAAUAAUAGAAUAGGACACUUUUCCAUUUCGUUGGUUAUUGGAAUCGUGUAAUGAUUAAUAGGGACAGUUGUGGGCAUUUGUAUUUAAUUGUCAGAGGUGAAAUUCUUGGAUUUAUUAAAGACAAACUAACGCGAAAGCAUUUGCCAAGGAUGUUUUCAUUAAUCAAGAACGAAAGUUAGGGGAUCAAAGACGAUCAGAUACCGUCCUAGUCUUAACUAUAAACUAUUCCGACUCAAUGUUUGACUGGCUUAUAUAACCAGUUGAGCGUUAUAUGAGAAAUCAAAGUCUUUAGGUUCUGGGGGGAGUAUGGUUGCAAAGCUGAAACUUAAAGGAAUUGACGGAAGAGCACAACCAGGAGUGGAUUCUGCGGCUUAAUUUGACUCAACACGGGGAAUCUUACCAGGUUAAAACAAUAGUGGGAUUGACAGUUUGAGAGCGCUUUCUUGAUUGGUUGGGUGGUGGUGCAUGGCCGUUCUUAGUUGGUGGAGUGAUUUGUCUGCUUAAUUGCGUUAACGAACG
RNAcentral lists this ribosomal RNA (1299 nucleotides) under metagenome. RNAcentral's name for it is "SSU rRNA". It matches the Rfam family "Eukaryotic small subunit ribosomal RNA", at positions 6 to 1337 of the family's 1831-position model. The record is from RNAcentral.